GAUGAACGCUGGCGGCGUGCCUAAUACAUGCAAGUCGAGCGAACAGAUGAGGAGCUUGCUCCUCUGACGUUAGCGGCGGACGGGUGAGUAACACGCGGAUAACCUACCUAUAAGACUGGGAUAACUUCGGGAAACCGGAACUAAUACCGGAUAAUAUAUUGAACCGCAUGGUUCAAUAGUGAAAGACGGUUUUGCUGUCACUUAUAGAUGGAUCCGCGCCGCAUUAGCUAGUUGGUAAGGUAACGGCUUACCAAGGCAACGAUGCGUAGCCGACCUGAGAGGGUGAUCGGCCACACUGGAACUGAGACACGGUCCAGACUCCUACGGGAGGCAGCAGUAGGGAAUCUUCCGCAAUGGGCGAAAGCCUGACGGAGCAACGCCGCGUGAGUGAUGAAGGUCUUCGGAUCGUAAAACUCUGUUAUUAGGGAAGAACAAAUGUGUAAGUAACUAUGCACGUCUUGACGGUACCUAAUCAGAAAGCCACGGCUAACUACGUG
This 497-nucleotide ribosomal RNA is filed under the name uncultured bacterium. Its description in RNAcentral is "partial 16S ribosomal RNA". It matches the Rfam family "Bacterial small subunit ribosomal RNA", at positions 28 to 507 of the family's 1533-position model. The record is from RNAcentral.